GGCAGAACUAAUAAACGGGCUCUGCCCAAUCACUAAAAUGGCCACCCCGAUCAGAACUACAGAUCACAAAAUGGCCGACUGCCAAACCUACAAUUCCCAGAAGCAAGGGGAACCCUCAGAAGGUGGAGCCGACCCACAGAUAAAGGGUCAAGAAAAAGCAGGAAGGGAGAGAGAGGGCGGGAAGGAUCUAUGAACCAUAGAGAAAGAGACAAUCUACAUUGGCUGGAUUUACCGUGUACGAGCUGGACUGUUUUGGACUUACCUGUUGGCGUUUAGACCUGGACCUACCGAGAACUAGAUUUGUGUACCGAACCCUGCUAUCCUUGACCUUACCUGCGGCCUGGGUGGACCAGGACAGAGAAACAAACACACAGCUCUCUUUAUCUCUGACAGGAGCGUCUGAGUGAGCAUCAGGGACAGUCUUCAACCCAUCUCUCCCACAACUGACGCCUCCACAGAUAAUUGCGUUUGAAGAACCUCCCUUGCUUAAGGGGGACCUAUUAUAUCUCCAUCGCCAUGUGACACGCUGCAACACACUUCAUUUACAGUGCCUUCAGAAAGUAUUCAUAACCCUUAAAUUAUUCCACAUUUUGUUGUGUUACAGCCUGAUUUAAAAAUGUAUUACAUAUCUUUUUUUACUCACCCAUCUACACACAAUACCUCAUAAUGAUCAAGUGAAAACAGGUUUUCAGAAAUGUUUGCAAACUUAUUGAAAAUUAAAUACUGAAAUAUCUAAUUUCCCUAAGUUUUCACUCAAUACAUGUUAAAUACAUGUACAUGUUAAAAUCACCUUUGGCAGCAAUUACAGCUGUGAGUCUUUCUGGUUAAGUCUUUAAGUGCUUUGCACUACUGGAUUGUUCAAUAUCUGCACAUUACUGUUUUUAAAACUCUUAAAACUCUGUCAAGUUGGUUGUUUAUCAUUGCUACAGUAGAUACAGUAGCCAUUUUCAAGUAUUGCCAUAGAUUUGAGCCAAUUUAAGUAAAAACUGUAACUAGGCCACUCAGGAACAUUCAAUGUCAUCUUGGUAAGCAACUCCAGUGUAUAUUUGGCCUUGUGUUUUGUCCUUCUGUAAGGUGAAUUUGUCUCACAGUGUCUGCUGGAAAGCAGACUGAACCAGGUUUUCCUCUUGGAUUUUGCCUGUACUUAGCUCUAUUCCAUUUCUUUUUAAAACACUUUUAAAAACUCUCUAGUCCUUGCUGAUGACAAGCAUACCCAUAACAUGAUGCAGCCACCACCAUGCUUGAAAAUAUGGAGAGUGGUACUCAAUGAUGUAUUGUGUUGGAUUUGCCCCAAACAUAACAAGUUGUAUUCAGGACAAAAAGUACAUUUCUUUGCCACUUUUUUUGCAGUAUUGCGUUAGUGCCUUCUUGCAAACAGGAUGAAUGUUUUUGAAUAUUUUUAUUCUGCACACUCUUCAUUCUUUUCACUCUGUCAUUUAUGUUAGUAUUGUGGAGUAAUUACAGUGUUGCUGAUCCAUUGUUUUCUUCGAUCACAGCCAUUAAACUCUGUAACAAUUUUAAGAUCACCAUUGGCUUCAUCGUGAAAUCCCUGAGCAGUUUUGAUCCUCUCCGGCAACUGAGUUAGGAAUGACAAAGGGGUUGAAUACUUACUGACUUAAGACAUUUCAGCUUUCCAUUUUUAAUGAAUUUCUUUAAAAAACUCUAAAACAUAAUUCCACUUUGACCUUGUGUGUAGGCCAGUAACACAAAAUCUAAAUGUAAUUUAUUUUGAAAUCAGGUUGUAACAACAAAAUUUGGAUAAAGUCAAGGGGUAUGAAUACUUUCUGAAGACAUUAACAUAACUGUGAACAUGGUUAUUUCUCCCUAUCGGCAGUCAGAAUGAGGAGUUAGGAGGGUGGGAUCAUGCUAAAUGCAGAGGUGGGGGUGAAGGAUGGGAUUAGGGCAUGCUAGAUGCAGACAUGGGCGUGGAGGGUAGCAUUACGGCAGAGGUGGGGAUGCAGGGUGUAAGGCUAGGGAGGGGGCUGUGUCAGAUAUUGUCUGACUCUGCAGGUGUGGCGUACCAGGAUUUUCACACUGGGGACCCCUUACUAGCGGGGGUUUGAUCAUAUUUUCCUCCCAGCGGUUGGGGGCUUUCAGAAUGACUUUUCCCCCAGCACAGCUGUCAGUCAUGUACAGUUGAAGUCGGAAGUUUACCUACACCUUAGCCAAAUACAUUCAAACUCAGUUUUUCACAAUUCUUGACAUUUAAUCAUACUGAAAAUUCCCUGUCUUAGGUCAGUUAGGAUCACCACUUUCUUUUAAGAAUGUGAAAUAUCAGAAUAAUAGUAGAGAGAAUUAUUUAUUUCAGCUUUUAUUUCUAAAAUCACAUUCCCAGUGGGUCAGAAGUUUUCAUACACUCAAUUACUAUUUGGUAGCAUUGCCUUUAAAUUGUUUAACUUGAAAUGUUUUGGGCAGUCUUCCACAAGCUUCCCACAAUAAGUGGGGUGAAUUUUGGCCGAUUCCUCCUGACAGAGCUGGUGUAACUGAGUCAGGUUUGUAGGCCUCCUUGCUCGCACACACAUUUUCAGUUCUGCCCACAUAUUUUCUACAGGAUUGAGGUCAGGGCUUUGUGAUGGCCACUCUAAAACCUUGACUUUGUUGUCCUUAUGCCAUUUUGCAACAACUUUGGAAGUAUACUUGGGGUCAUUGUCCAUUUGGAAGACCCAUUUGCGACCAAGCUUUAACUUUCUGACUGAUGUCUUGAGAUGUUGAUUCACUAUAUCCACAUAAUUGUCCUUCCUCAUGAUGCCAUCUAUUUUGUGAAGUGCACUAGUCCCUCCUGCAGCAAAGCACACCCACAACAUGAUGCUGCCACCCCCGUGCUUCAUGGCUGGGAUGGUGUUUUUUGGCUUGCAAGCAUCCCCUUUUUUCCUCCAAACAUAACGGUGGUCAUUAUGGUCAAACAGUUCCAUUUUUGUUUCAUCAGACCAGAGGACAUUUCUCCAAGAAGUACAGUAUUUGUCCCCAUGUGCAGUUGAAAACCGUAGUCUGGAUUUUUCUAUGGCGGUUUUGGAGCAGUGGCUUCUUCUUUUCUGAGCGACAGUUCAGGUUAUGUCGAUAAAAGAAUCUUUUUACUGUGGAUAAAGAUAUUUUUGUACCCGUUUCCCCCAGCAUUUUCACAAGGUCCUUUGCUGUUGUUCUGGGAUUGAUUUGCACCUUUCGCACCAAAGUACGUUCAUCUCUAGGAGACAGAACGCAUCUCCUUCCAGAGCGGUAUGACGGCUGUGUGGUCCCAUGGUGUUUAUACUUGCGUACUAUUGUUUGUACAGAUGAACGUGGUACCUUCAGGCGUUUGGAAAUUGCUCCCAAGGAUGAACCAGACUUGUGGAAGUCUACAACUUGUUUCUGAGGUCUUGGCUGAUUUCUUUAGAUUUUCCCAUGAUGUCAAGAAAAGAGGUACUGAGUUUGAAGGUAGGCCUUGAAAUACAUCCACAGGUACACCUCCAAUUGACUCAAAUUAUGUAAAUUAGCCUAUCAGAAGCUUCUAAAGCCAUGUCAUCGUUUUCUGCAAUUUUCCAAGCUGUUUAAAUGCACAGUCAACUUAGCGUAUGUAAUCUUACAGUGAAUUAUAAGUGAAAUAAUCUGUCUGUAAACAAUUGUUGGAAAAAUGACUUGUGUCAUGCACAAAGUAGAUGUCCUAACCGACUUGCCAAAACUAUAGUUUGUUAACAAGAAAUUUGUGGAGUGGUUAAAAAACAAGUUUUAAUGACUCCAACCUAAGUGUAUGUAAACUUCCGACUUCAACUGUACUUACUACCAGUCAAUGCAUGGCUUUCUCCUAAUUGCAGCCUGAUGGUUCCAUAUGUGUAGAAGAACAAUGAAAACCACAUAUGAUUAGAGGAUUGCAACAGGAUGCUAAAACAACUGAAAACUCCAGAACAAGUAGUACAUAUGUCACGUCCUGACCAGUAUAAGGGGUUAUUUGUUAUUGUAGUUUGGUCAGGGCGUGGCAGGGGUGUGUUUGUUUUGUGUUAUCAGGGUUUUUGGGUAUGGUUCUAUGUUUUUGUAAUUCUAUGUUUUUCUAUGUUGUGUAUUUCUUUGUGUUGGCCUGGUAUGGCUCUCAAUCAGGAACAGCUGUACAUUGUUGUUGCUGAUUGGGAGCCAUACUUAGGUAACCCUUUUUUCCCCCUGUCUUUUGUGGGAAGUUGUUUUUGCACUGCUCUGGUUAGCCUGCAGAACUGUUUAGCUGUCGUUCGUUUUUUCGUUUUUGUGUAGUGUUCUAAUAAAGUAAAUAUGAGCAUUCACAUACCCGCUGCAUUUUGGGCCAAUCCUUACGACGGCCGUGACAGAACUUCCCACCACAAAUGGACCAAGCAGCAGGGUAAGGAGCUGGAGAGGAGCUAUCUGGAGUCGUGGACUUGGGAGGAGAUCCUAGCCAGAGAGGGACCAUGGAGGAAGGCUGGAGAGGACCGGGAGUGUUAUGCUGGAACACGGCUGGCAUGGAGGCCUGAGAGGCAGCCCCAAAAAAUGUUUUUUUUGGGGGGGGGCACACGGGUAGUUUGGCUGGGCCAGGGUUGAGCCCUAAGCCAACUCCCCGUGCUUACCGAAGGCAGCGUGGUACUGGUCAGGCCCCGUGCUAUGGGGUGAUGCGCACGGCGUCGAGGCCAAGCAUCCACAGGCCGGUGUGCUCGGUGCCAGCGUCCCGCAUUUGCCGGGGGGAAGCGGGCACCCAGCCAGUACGGGUUGUGCCAGUCUUGCGCUCGAGACCGCCAGUCCACCUCCACAGCCCAGUGUAUCCUGUUCCCGCUCCCCAACCAGUAUAAGGGGUUAUUUGUUAUUGUAGUUUGGUCAGGGCGUGGCAGGGGUCUGUUUGUUUUGUGUUAUUGGGGUUUUUGGGUAUGGUUCUAUGUUUUUGUAAUUCUAUGUUUUUCUAUGUUGUGUAUUUCUUUGUGUUGGCCUGGUAUGGCUCUCAAUCAGGAACAGCUGUACAUUGUUGUUGCUGAUUGGGAGCCAUACUUAGGUAGCCUUUUUUUCCACCUGUCUUUUGUGGGAAGUUGUUUUUGCACUGCUAUGGUUAGCUUGCAGAACUGUUUAGCUGUCGUUCGUUUUUUCGUUUUCUUGUUUUUGUGUAGUGUUCUAAUAAAGUAAAUAUGAGCAUUCACAUA
RNAcentral lists this long non-coding RNA (5105 nucleotides) under Salmo salar (Atlantic salmon). Its description in RNAcentral is "lncRNA (ENSSSAG00000106417.1)". Lineage: Eukaryota; Metazoa; Chordata; Actinopteri; Salmoniformes; Salmonidae. The record is from RNAcentral.